This 253-nucleotide ribosomal RNA is filed under the name uncultured bacterium. Its description in RNAcentral is "partial 16S ribosomal RNA". It matches the Rfam family "Bacterial small subunit ribosomal RNA", at positions 524 to 776 of the family's 1533-position model. The record is from RNAcentral.
UACGUAGGGGGCAAGCGUUGUCCGGAUUUAUUGGGCGUAAAGAGCGUGUAGGCGGCUUUGCAAGUCCGUUGUGAAAACUCGAGGCUCAACCUCGAGACGCCGGUGGAAACUGCAAAGCUAGAGUCCGGAAGAGGAGAGUGGAAUUCCUGGUGUAGCGGUGAAAUGCGCAGAUAUCGGGAGGAACACCAGUGGCGAAGGCGACUACCUGGCCUGUUCUUGACGCUGAGGCGCGAAAGCUAGGGGAGCAAACGGG